GUGAGGAAUUUUCCGCAAUGGGCGAAAGCCUGACGGAGCAAUGCCGCGUGAAGGAUGAAGGCCUAUGGGUUGUAAACUUCUUUUCUCAGAAAAGAAUUAUGACGGUAUCUGAGGAAUAAGCAUCGGCUAACUCUGUGCCAGCAGCCGCGGUAAGACAGAGGAUGCAAGCGUUAUCCGGAAUGAUUGGGCGUAAAGCGUCUGUAGGUUGUUUAAAAAGUAUUCUGUCAAAGAUUAGGGCUUAACCCUAGAUAGGCAGAAUAAACUUUUAAGCUAGAGUUUGGUAGAGUCAGAGGGAAUUCCCGGUGGAGCGGUGAAAUGCGUAGAUAUCGGGAGGAACACCAAAGGCGAAGGCACUCUGCUGGGCCAAUACUAACACUGAGAGACGAAAGCGAGGGGAGCAAAUGGGAUUAGAUACCCGAGUAGUCC
RNAcentral lists this ribosomal RNA (426 nucleotides) under uncultured bacterium. Its description in RNAcentral is "partial 16S ribosomal RNA". It matches the Rfam family "Bacterial small subunit ribosomal RNA", at positions 354 to 796 of the family's 1533-position model. The record is from RNAcentral.